UUCCCUUUCUGUGCUGCCAGAGGACUCUGUCUUCUCUUUGUGCUUCCAGUGUCUACAGUAUCUGUCCCACAGGAACUGCUCACUAACAUCCACCAAAUAAAUGGAAGAAGCACCCUUGGGGUAGCCAGGCACCAUGCAAGUAACCUGCCAAUCCUGAGCCCACCAUACUGUGAAUGAGUCCAAGCUAGCCACAUGGAAAAGUCUCUGGAGAGAUAGAGAUGCCAGUCUGCUUCACAUCAUUUUAGCCUUCUCAGCUAAGGCACCAGCCUUGUAGAUGAAGUAAACCAAAUAGCUCCUGAACAUUCUUCAAAGUCACCAAAUCUCAUAG
Molecule: long non-coding RNA, 328 nt
Organism: Lutra lutra (Eurasian river otter)
Lineage: Eukaryota; Metazoa; Chordata; Mammalia; Carnivora; Mustelidae
Exons: 3
Source: RefSeq, a predicted model, not a curated record